RNAcentral lists this unclassified non-coding RNA (253 nucleotides) under uncultured Polyangiaceae bacterium. RNAcentral's name for it is "contains 16S-23S intergenic spacer region". It matches the Rfam family "Bacterial small subunit ribosomal RNA", at positions 524 to 776 of the family's 1533-position model. Lineage: Bacteria; Pseudomonadati; Myxococcota; Polyangiales; Polyangiaceae. The record is from RNAcentral.
GACAGAGGGUGCAAACGUUGUUCGGAAUUACUGGGCGUAAAGCGUGUGUAGGCGGCUACGAAAGUCGGAUGUGAAAGCCCCGGGCUCAACCCGGGAAGUGCACCCGAAACUGCGUGGCUCGAGUACCGGAGAGGUUGGUGGAAUUCUCGGUGUAGAGGUGAAAUUCGUAGAUAUCGAGAGGAACACCGGUGGCGAAGGCGGCCAACUGGACGAGUACUGACGCUGAGGUACGAAAGCAUGGGGAGCAAACAGG